RNAcentral lists this ribosomal RNA (476 nucleotides) under uncultured bacterium. RNAcentral describes it as "partial 16S ribosomal RNA". It matches the Rfam family "Bacterial small subunit ribosomal RNA", at positions 28 to 523 of the family's 1533-position model. The record is from RNAcentral.
GACGAACGCUGGCGGCGUGCUUAACACAUGCAAGUCGAACGGUAAGGCCCUUCGGGGUACACGAGUGGCGAACGGGUGAGUAACACGUGGGUGAUCUGCCCUGCACUUCGGGAUAAGCCUGGGAAACUGGGUCUAAUACCGGAUAGGACCACUGCCUGCAUGGGUGGUGGUGGAAAGCUUUUGCGGUGUGGGAUGGGCCCGCGGCCUAUCAGCUUGUUGGUGGGGUGAUGGCCUACCAAGGCGACGACGGGUAGCCGGCCUGAGAGGGACCGGCCACACUGGGACUGAGAUACGGCCCAGACUCCUACGGGAGGCAGCAGUGGGGAAUAUUGCACAAUGGGCGCAAGCCUGAUGCAGCGACGCCGCGUGAGGGAUGACGGCCUUCGGGUUGUAAACCUCUUUCAGCACCGACGAAGCGCAAGUGACGGUAGGUGCAGAAGAAGGACCGGCCAACUACGUGCCAGCCGCCGCAGUAA